GAUGAACGCUGGCGGCGUGCUUAACACAUGCAAGUCGAACGAUGAAGCCCAGCUUGCUGGGUGGAUUAGUGGCGAACGGGUGAGUAACACGUGAGUAACCUGCCCUUAACUCUGGGAUAAGCCUGGGAAACUGGGUCUAAUACCGGAUAGGAGCGUCCACCGCAUGGUGGGUGUUGGAAAGAUUUAUCGGUUUUGGAUGGACUCGCGGCCUACCAGCUUGUUGGUGAGGUAAUGGCUCACCAAGGCGACGACGGGUAGCCGGCCUGAGAGGGUGACCGGCCACACUGGGACUGAGACACGGCCCAGACUCCUACGGGAGGCAGCAGUGGGGAAUAUUGCACAAUGGGCGCAAGCCUGAUGCAGCGACGCCGCGUGAGGGAUGACGGCCUUCGGGUUGUAAACCUCUUUCAGUAGGGAAGAAGCGAAAGUGACGGUACCUGCAGAAGAAGCACCGGCUAACUACGUG
Molecule: ribosomal RNA, 466 nt
Filed under: uncultured bacterium
Lineage: Bacteria
Description: partial 16S ribosomal RNA
Rfam family: Bacterial small subunit ribosomal RNA
Source: RNAcentral